RNAcentral lists this ribosomal RNA (353 nucleotides) under uncultured bacterium. RNAcentral's name for it is "bacterial SSU rRNA". It matches the Rfam family "Bacterial small subunit ribosomal RNA", at positions 917 to 1264 of the family's 1533-position model. The record is from RNAcentral.
GGGCCUGCACAAGCGGUGGAGUAUGUGGCUUAAUUCGAUGCAACGCGAAGAACCUUACCUGGCCUUGACAUGCAUCUCUAAGCGUGUGAAAGCACGUGACCCCUCGGGGAAUUUGCACAGGUGCUGCAUGGCUGUCGUCAGCUCGUGUCGUGAGAUGUUGGGUUAAGUCCCGCAACGAGCGCAACCCUUGUGUCCUGUUGCCACUUCCGCUAGCGCGGAAAGCACUCUGGACAGACUGCCUCGUCUCAACCGAGGAGGAAGGUGGGGAUGACGUCAAGUCAGUAUGGCCCUUACGGCCAGGGCUGCACACGUACUACAAUGCUACGGACAAAGGGCAGCAAGUUCGCGAGGAC